RNAcentral lists this unclassified non-coding RNA (1089 nucleotides) under Hevea brasiliensis (rubber tree). The record is from RNAcentral. Lineage: Eukaryota; Viridiplantae; Streptophyta; Magnoliopsida; Malpighiales; Euphorbiaceae.
AUAAGAAACAUAAGAGAGUCGACCGGCGGCGAAUCCGGCGGCUUAGAAUAUACCGGGUUUUGAAGAUUAAUGUGUGGGUGACCAGACACCUUGAUAGAUGGUGACUUGUGUUCAUGCAAGUCCCUGCAGACCUUUUUUCCAUGUCUCAAAUACAUCCCAAUCACACCAACAACCUCGAAUGCCCCGUGUCUUACCAGUUGGUGUUAAGUAUUUCCCUGCAAUGUGUGUGGAACUUGCUUCAAUGUGCCCCCAAUAUGGACUUGUAUUGAAACACCGACAACAUGAAACUGCAACAAAAUACCUGCAAGGGACUCCUGUUUGCUUGCUUGGUGGCAAAGACAAGUCUGAAAGAGACAAUGAGGGUUCUCCAUGGAAUCCUUUUGAGAAGUUCAUGGGAAGUUUCAAGGGAAAGUCAGUAGAAGAUGUGUUACGGCUGCAGAUUGAAAAACAAGAAUUUUAUGAUGGAGGAAGUGGGAAAAAUCCACCUCGUGGUGGCAGCGGUGGUGGGGAUGGCUUUGGAGAUUCUGAGGAUGAAGGCCAUGCAGGAAUCAUGGAUGAAACUCUGCAAGUAGUCUUAGCUACCGUUGGCUUUAUUUUUCUGUAUGUUUACAUCAUUAGUGGGGAGGAGUUGACUCGUCUAGCGAAAGACUACAUCAAGUUUGUUUUGGGAGGAAGCAAGAGUGUUCGUUUAAAAAGAGUAAUGAACAAGUGGAAAAGGUUCUACCAGAGACUGACUGAAAAGAAGGAGGUUGACAAGUUAUGGUUGGAAAGGGCGAUUAUCAAUACCCCAACAAUGUAUGACAGCCCCACAAAAUACAGGCAAAUUUUAAGGUCCAUGUUGGCAUCAAAUGAAGAUGAGUGAUUUCACUCCUGCUAUUUCAGAGAGACGGCGUGUGCAAUGGUAGAAGCAAAAAAUUUAAGCCGCAAAGGCUUUUGACAUCAGAUUUUUUUUAUUUUUGCAGAGCUGUUUUGUAUAGUAUUUGAAAUAUAUACUUUCAGAUUGUUGGAGCUGGUGAUCAAAUUUCUUAGGAUUUUAAGAGGACAACUUAUAAUGAAAUAAACCAGUGCUUACCAAGGACUACGCAAUGG